Molecule: long non-coding RNA, 1833 nt
Organism: Varanus komodoensis (Komodo dragon)
Lineage: Eukaryota; Metazoa; Chordata; Lepidosauria; Squamata; Varanidae
Source: Ensembl
GGUGGCCGCUGAGCCCGGGCGAAAGCCUCUGGGGCAGUUGCGCCGCCUUUCGAGCAAGCCGGUUGCGCAGCGGGGGGGGGACGCAGAGGCCUUGCCGGACCUCACCAGGCCUUGUGCUCCCUUGCUCAGGUUGCCGCGUCCUUACCCUGGAGACCGUCAGCCUUUUCCGGAAGUACCUCUCCAUCCUAGACGCCCCUCUCAGCCGCCUGCGGAGCCCAGAUGUUCUCUUCGUGCUGACGGAAGAGGAGGCCGAAGUGGCCCAGAGAGCCAUGCGGUGCCACCACAGCCAGUUCGUUUGGUUCCGCCGCCUGUACGUCUUUUUCUCGCGCUACAUGGUCAUCAACUCGCUUCGCUUCCUCUAACGGGAAAGGACGGAGCGACUGGAGAAGAGAGGCCGGCCGGUUGCUCCACAAGAGGCGAAGCACCUGCCCAAGACCUCACUGAGGAAUGGAACGCCAGACUGGCCUUCCCCGAGGGGUGGGGAGCUGCCGGCACAGCCCGGCCAGCUGGGCAACUUCUUCCGUGUGGCUGGCAGGGUUGUCCCUCCAGAUCUGGCCAGCUCUCGCCACGAUGGCAGAAGCCCAGAAAACAAACAACGGGUUUGUCAGCUCCUCUAACGACAGGCAAGCGUGGCACGUACAGCGUCAGAAAAGAGGAGUUCCCCCAGAACUGCCGUCGUAGCACCGUUUGCAAAUAUUUAAGCUAUUUCAAUUAAAAAUGCUAAUCUGAUACGACGACUGAAAACACAGAAGGGCUACUGUGCUGAAAGCAUUAACUGAAACUGAGCUGCAUAACCAGGCCAUGGAAUAAAGUCACGUUCGAGGCAGCAUUCAUGGAAGAGGCCUAGAAGAGGCUCGUAAGGAUCGCCACAAACUUCCCUGUAGGUCUUUGGUCAGGCCUGCCUUACCGGGAGGAUAAAAUGGGAAUGACUCAGUGUCCAUUGAACUUCUUAGAGAAGACGGGAAAUCAGUCCAGAGACAGCAGGUGAACUAGAGCUGGGGAUGGUAAGCGUCUAACCCAGACUCAGCCACACGCCUCACCAGGUAGGUCACCUGGAGCCAGGUGUGCAGUCUGGCUCACAGGGCUGUUGUAAGGUAUAAAAGAGCAUGUGAGAGGGAGAGACCCAUCCCUAGGACCCUGAACUCCUUUGGAGGGUGGACUAAAACCAGAACUUUUUCCUUUGCCUGAGGCAUCGCGGAAGACGCUUGGAGCCCGAAGCGUCACUCACGCCGUCAUGCUUCCACCUGGCUAGCUGAAGGGGACUUGAGCACCAUCACCCUUCCAGGUAUGCUGGGUUACAAGUCCCAUCGCUCCCCAGCCAGCUGUAGCCCUACACCACGGGAGGGCACAAGGUUGGGGAACGGUGGAUGCUCCCAUCCUCCUUUGGCUCGUGCCCAAUGGCAGCAGAAUCACGGGGCCCAGGAGCGGUUCUCCCACGGCCCACUUCACCAGCCCCUUGGUCUCUUCUCCUGCUGCAGGCGAUCCGACCAGGUCGUACGGGGAUGGGCAAUGGCGUGGCUUGCGCCCUUAAGGGUGGGGCUUUGCUAGCUGAAAAGGGGCCCUCCCCAAAUCCAGGCAGCUUUAACAAAAAGAACCAUAAGACACCAAUUCCGAGUCCCCACUGUAGGGUCCCCAGGAAGCAGGUUAGCAUAAAUCCUGGUCUGAGAGGGGAAAAAGAUUCUUACGGCUUUUGUUGUUGAAAACUGAAAGUUUGGCCUAAGAUGCAUUCUUGGAGUCCAGCGGAAUCCUUUAUCUGCCUUCUGAGCCAUUAGUAAGCACUAUUUGUGGAACAGUGAGGACUAGCCACUUUUACGUGCAUUAUUAAAUUUCUUU